Molecule: non-coding RNA, 3216 nt
Organism: Misgurnus anguillicaudatus (oriental weatherfish)
Lineage: Eukaryota; Metazoa; Chordata; Actinopteri; Cypriniformes; Cobitidae
Source: RefSeq, a predicted model, not a curated record
UCUCUGCUGCUCACCUCAGACCUCGUCUCUUUACUACAGAUUCAACGAAAACUUCAUAACUCUAGACCUGCUUAGAAUUAGAUUCUAACAGUUGGGGGCUCGUCCGGCGACAGGGGGGUGAGCCUCCUCCCGACAGAACCGGAGACCGAAAUUCGAACACCGCAGAUCGGGGAGGACCUACAGAAAGGGGUAAGUGUCGCGAUAUUUCUAAUAAAUUUGAAAUACAGCGCUUACCCCUGUAGAGUCCCAGUAGGACCCAUAUCUUGUGCUCGAGACAAGAUCGGUCAGUUUCACUCGGCCCACGUGGGGCAGGUGGCCCAGAAAUUGCCACCGUUGGCUAAUUGAUUUACGAAUUAAUUGCUAGUAACGAAGUGAUAGUCGCUCACGAGUAAAAGAAAGAAAUAAAUUGACAACGAGUGAUUUCUUGUCAAUUAAAUUUCACGGGUGCGGUAAUCGAGAUUACCAGCACAUGCAGCAUUGACUGUGUACGGAGCGAGGUCAAAUAUACAGUUAGAGCUCGCUGUAUAUUUGAGAUCGCGGUGUUAUUGUUAUUCGUUAUUGUUGAGUAAUCAUCAACGAAACGUUGAAUUGAAUAUAAAACGAGCAUUGCCCACUAUCAAAGAAAUUUAUUAAAACUAUAUGAAUAACAUUUAUGACAUUUUAUGAAAACUGGAUUUUUGCAAAUUUCAAAUAAUUUGCCAAACUAAUAUAUAACUUCUAAAGAACGAAACGAUACGUAAAUGUAUUGAGGCUGAGUAGAGGAGCACAGAAAACCUGGGUGUUUGUCAAUUGCUUAUUUGUGCUUAUUGCUGUUUGCUUGUUAUUGCUGCUAUUAUUUGUUUACAUUGUGUUGAAGAUGGGUGAUUCUGCCACGGCCAGGCAAAAGCCUGAUGAAUUUAUGUAUACAAAUAAUAAAGGUUUUUAUGUUGAACUGUACAUCACUUAGCGGUUAGUAAUAUAAUAACUUUGCAUUGAAAACCCCCAACGCAAGAUGCGCUGCCAUAUUUUAUGUCGAAUAGUACCAGCCGAAGUUUAUCGUCCCCACAAAUUGCUGUAAAAUACGUGAAUGUUUUGCAAUCUCACAAAAGGUAUGAACACGUCACAGGGGCAGAUUUGUGCUAUUUUGUUGAAAAUUGGAGAGCGAUGUAAAAAAAAAAAAAAAACAUAACUGAUACGUGCCGCUGUCUGAUUCGGGAAAACCAUGUGACUGGAGGUGAGGGGACUGCAGCCUCUCGUAAUCCACUCACACGGGAAGAUCAUGAAUAUCAUGAUAUGCUUUUUUGAUCAGCUGCGCGUUUUUCUAGAUAAACGGUUUGGCAUUUGCCAGUAUUUAUCAUUUGCAUUAAACGGAAAGAUAAAGCCAAAUGAAACUGCCUCUGAAUUUUGCACACGUUUUAAAGUAUUAUGAGUUUAUUCUAGAUUACCGAUUGACAAAGUCUGAGUGCGCUGUUACAAAUAUGCUGUUGAACAAUAUGAAUCGUAGGUACCGGUAAGUGAAAUCUGUUGAAUAUGAAUGUGAAUAGACUGAUUUGUGAGUCUGAUGCAUCUGGUGAACAUGCUAUGUUUUCAGUGCAAGUCUCAUCGAACGGGAAAAAGCUUGCUUAAGCACCGGAAAGGAAGAUUUGAUAUAAUGUGUUAUUAUGUGGACAAAGGGGCCACAUGAAAUGUGACUGUCGUUCAAAGGGGGGUGCAAUUUUAUUCCAAGGGUGCCACCACGUAGACAGUCAAUGCAACAGCCAAAGCAAGUGCAUCAGAAACUAUCUGACAGUAAUUACCAGACAAACUGGCAUAACAAAACACAAUGAAAUGUUCUGACCCAUUACACCACCUCUGGAGACAUACAGUGAUCCUCUGCCUAUGGGGGGAGGAAGUGAGAAGGCCGACCAAGACCCAGUAGUCGCCCGCAUACCACAUGAUGUAGAAACCUUGAUUAACCCAUGCCUAUGAACUCAGUCAAACAAUGAUACAGGUUAUAUUGAUAUGAAACCAUACAAAGUUAAACUUAAACCUGUGUACAUCAAACAAUAUCCUUUGUCAAAAGAAAAGGAAGAUGGCAUUAAACCUAUUAUUCACCAUUUUGUUUAACAGGGUGUCCUCGUACCUACUCGCCAUACAACACACCGAUUAACCCGGUGGUGAAUGCUGAUGGAAAGACAUAAUGUCUUACACAAGAUUUAAGAGCACUCAAUAAACUGAUAAUUCCUCUGUCUCUGAUUGUUCCAGAUGUGCCGACUGUUAUAAAUUUUAUACCAUGCACACAUAAGUAUUUCUGUCAUUGAUUUGUGUGCUGCUUUUGUUUCUCUGUUCCAGUGCAUCCAGACACACAGCCACUGCUAGCCUUAUAGGAUAGGCGGUGCAAAAAAAACUAAGAAGGGUAUGUUGACUCACCAUCCGUCCUCUCCGCUGCGGUGAAAAAAAAAGACAUUGAGAAAAAAAAAGAUCAACUUGCUGUUUUCGGGUUUGCUGUCUGCUGUAUGCCGAUGACCUCAUGGUCUCUGCUCUGACUGAAAAGAACUGUGAGGAAGCCUCCAUUAUCGUCUGCAAUAUUUUGGUGGACGCUGGUUUCAAAGCAUCAAAAGAAAAGUUCGGUGGGUCAAGCAAAAGUUCUCGUACCUGGGUCACGUCAUAAUGCCAGGUGUUCGAAAAAAAACCUCCACAGAUCAGGUUGAACUGAUCCGGAAGAUGUAAUUCACACAAACUGUGUAACAGCUCCAAAGUUUUCUGGGGUUAAUAAACUGUUGUCGCUCAUGGAAACCUGAGUGUGCUGCCCAUGACGGACAUUUGCGGAGCACGAUUGAUCACAAGGCAUCGCCUGCAUCACUGAUAUGCUGGACUGAUGAAGCAGAGACUCAUUUCAUGGCACUGAAACACGCCAUUACUACGGCCCCAACUCUGGGCCAUCCGAACUAUGCAAGGACUUUUCACCUGCAUGCGUGAGAGGCGAAGGGUGUGGCUCUGGGUAUCCUUUGGCAACAACAAGGUUGCACUUAUAGGCCAGUGGCAUAUCUGUCUAGAAAACUAGAUAAUGUAGUAACAGGUAUGCCUGAAAUGUCUUUAUGCAGUGGCUGCUGAUGUUCUGUUUGUACAGGUGGCUGAGAGAACGGUGCUGUCACAGUCAAUGACUCUACACAUCACAUCAAGUUGGUGCAUUUUUACACAACACAGGACGGCACAGAGGCGAUAUGGGUAUGAGGCUACGCUGUUGGCAACCAAAAA